UUUGGUGAGUUUGCUUUUAACAGUCACUCUGUGCCAUCUAAUCAAGUCAGAACAUAGCAGAGAUGGCAGUGGUUAUCUGUGGAAGACAUUGUUAGUUGUCACAAAUCGGAGGAAAGGGUGCUAUUGUGUGGGUAGAUCAGGGAAGUUGCUAAACAUCCUACAGUGUAUAGAAUGGGCCCUGCCUACAAUAAAGACUUCAAAAACCUUAAAC
Molecule: long non-coding RNA, 211 nt
Organism: Dipodomys spectabilis (banner-tailed kangaroo rat)
Lineage: Eukaryota; Metazoa; Chordata; Mammalia; Rodentia; Heteromyidae
Exons: 3
Source: RefSeq, a predicted model, not a curated record